RNAcentral lists this ribosomal RNA (484 nucleotides) under uncultured bacterium. RNAcentral describes it as "partial 16S ribosomal RNA". It matches the Rfam family "Bacterial small subunit ribosomal RNA", at positions 29 to 523 of the family's 1533-position model. The record is from RNAcentral.
AGUGAACGCUGGCGGCGUGCUCAACACAUGCAAGUCGAACGAGAACGGAUUAUAGCUUGCUAUAAUUGUCAGCUUAGUGGCGCACGGGUGAGUAAUGUAUAGGUAAUAUGCCUCUUACUAAGGGAUAACAAAUGGAAACGUUUGCUAAUACCUUAUACUCCUUAUUAACAUAAGUUAAUAAGGGAAAGAUUUAUUGGUAAGAGAUUAGCCUGUAUUGUAUCAGUUAGUUGGUGGGGUAAUGGCCUACCAAGACUAUGACACAUAACUGGUUUGAGAGGAUGAUCAGUCACACUGGAACUGAGACACGGUCCAGACUCCUACGGGAGGCAGCAGUGGGGAAUAUUGCACAAUGGACGAAAGUCUGAUGCAGCAACGCCGCGUGGAGGAUGACACAUUUCGGUGCGUAAACUCCUUUUAUAUGAGAAGAUAAUGACGGUAUUAUAUGAAUAAGCACCGGCUAACUCCGUGCCAGCCGCCGCGGUAA